RNAcentral lists this ribosomal RNA (118 nucleotides) under Peromyscus maniculatus bairdii (prairie deer mouse). Lineage: Eukaryota; Metazoa; Chordata; Mammalia; Rodentia; Cricetidae. The record is from RNAcentral.
CUCUGUGGCCAUUCCACCCUGAACAACCAGAUCUCAGGCUUGGAAGCUAAGCAGGGCCAGACCCGGUUAAUACUUGGAUGGGAGAAAACCAUGAAACAGAAGCCAGAAGACACACAGA